GAAUAUUGGACAAUGGGCGCAAGCCUGAUCCAGCCAUGCCGCGUGAGUGAUGAAGGCCUUAGGGUUGUAAAGCUCUUUUAUCCGGGACGAUAAUGACGGUACCGGAAGAAUAAGCCCCGGCUAACUUCGUGCCAGCAGCCGCGGUAAUACGAAGGGGGCUAGCGUCGCUCGGAAUCACUGGGCGUAAAGGGCGCGUAGGCGGACAUUUAAGUCGGGGGUGAAAGCCCGGGGCUCAACCCCGGAAUUGCCUCCGAUACUGGAUGUCUCGAGACCGGAAGAGGUAAGUGGAACUGCGAGUGUAGAGGUGAAAUUCGUAGAUAUUCGCAAGAACACCAGUGGCGAAGGCGGCUUACUGGUCCGGUUCUGACGCUGAGGCGCGAAAGCGUGGGGAGCAAACAGG
Molecule: ribosomal RNA, 400 nt
Filed under: uncultured bacterium
Lineage: Bacteria
Description: bacterial SSU rRNA
Rfam family: Bacterial small subunit ribosomal RNA
Source: RNAcentral